This 378-nucleotide ribosomal RNA is filed under the name uncultured archaeon. RNAcentral's name for it is "bacterial SSU rRNA". It matches the Rfam family "Archaeal small subunit ribosomal RNA", at positions 691 to 1068 of the family's 1478-position model. The record is from RNAcentral.
CCGACGGUGAGAGACGAAAGCUGGGGGAGCAAACCGGAUUAGAUACCCGGGUAGUCCCAGCUGUAAACGAUGCGCGUUAGGUGUAUCAGUGACCACGAGUCACUGAGGUGCCGAAGAGAAAUCGUGAAACGUGCCGCCUGGGAAGUACGGUCGCAAGGCUGAAACUUAAAGGAAUUGGCGGGGGAGCACCACAACAGGUGGAGCCUGCGGUUUAAUCGGACUCAACGCCGGAAAUCUCACCAGAUAAGACAGCUGAAUGAUAGUCGGGCUGAAGACUCUACUUGACUAGCUGAGAGGAGGUGCAUGGCCGUCGUCAGUUCGUACUGUGAAGCAUCCUGUUAAGUCAGGCAACGAGCGAGACCCACGCCAACAGUUGCU